GUAGGCGGCGUGGUAAGUCAGAUGUGAAAUCCCGGGGCUCAACCCCGGAACUGCAUCCGAUACUGCCGUGCUAGAGGAUUGGAGAGGUAGCUGGAAUUCACGGUGUAGCAGUGAAAUGCGUAGAUAUCAUGAGGAACACUCGUGGCGAAAGCGAGCUACUGGACAACUCCUGACGCUGAGGCUCGAAGGCCAGGGUAGCGAAAGGGAUUAGAUACCCCUGUAGUCCUGGCAGUAAACGGUGCACGCUUGGUGUGAGGGGAAUCGACCCCCCUUGUGCCGGAGCUAACGCGUUAAGCGUGCCGCCUGGGAAGUACGGUCGCAAGACUAAAACCCAAAGAAAUUGACGGGGACCCGCACAAGCGGUGGAGUAUGUGGCUUAAUUCGAUGCAACGCGAAGAACCUUACCAAGGCUUGACAUGCAUCUNUAAGCGCGUGAAAGCGCGUGACCCUUCGGGGGAUUUGCACAGGUGCUGCAUGGCCGUCGUCAGCUCGUGUCGUGAGAUGUUGGGUUAAGUCCCGCAACGAGCGCAACCCUUGUGAUUAGUUGCCAGCACGUCAUGGUGGGAACUCUAGUCAGACUGCCCAGAUCAACUGGGAGGAAGGUGGGGACGACGUCAGGUCAGUAUGGCCCUUACGCCUUGGGCUGCACACGUACUACAAUGCCCAGUACAAUGAGAACCGAGACCGCGAGGUGGAGGAAAUCUGCAAAACUGGGCCCAGUUCGGAUUGGAGGCUGCAACUCGCCUCCAUGAAGUUGGAAUCGCUAGUAAUGGCGCAUCAUCUACGGCGCCGUGAAUACGUUCCCGGGUCUUGUACACACCGCCCGU
RNAcentral lists this ribosomal RNA (827 nucleotides) under uncultured bacterium. RNAcentral describes it as "bacterial SSU rRNA". It matches the Rfam family "Bacterial small subunit ribosomal RNA", at positions 571 to 1397 of the family's 1533-position model. The record is from RNAcentral.